RNAcentral lists this ribosomal RNA (192 nucleotides) under uncultured Staphylococcus sp. RNAcentral describes it as "partial 16S ribosomal RNA". It matches the Rfam family "Bacterial small subunit ribosomal RNA", at positions 148 to 334 of the family's 1533-position model. The record is from RNAcentral. Lineage: Bacteria; Bacillati; Bacillota; Bacilli; Caryophanales; Staphylococcaceae.
UUCGGGAAACCGGAGCUAAUACCGGAUAAUAUUUUGAACCGCAUGGUUCAAAAGUGAAAGACGGUCUUGCUGUCACUUAUAGAUGGAUCCGCGCUGCAUUAGCUAGUUGGUAAGGUAACGGCUUACCAAGGCAACGAUGCAUAGCCGACCUGAGAGAGUGAUCGGCCACACUGGAACUGAGACACGGUCCAG